RNAcentral lists this ribozyme (65 nucleotides) under unclassified sequences. RNAcentral's name for it is "pistol ribozyme". It matches the Rfam family "Pistol ribozyme". The record is from RNAcentral.
AAUCGUUAGGGCGAUUUAAAAGAGAGUAUUAAGCCCUAAGCGUCCCGACUUUGUCGGGGGUUACA